Molecule: unclassified non-coding RNA, 160 nt
Filed under: soil metagenome
Description: partial internal transcribed spacer 1
Source: RNAcentral
CAGAGUUGCAAGACUCCCUAAACCAUUGUGAACCUACCUUCUACCGUUGCUUCGGCGGGCGGGCCCAGCGCCCCCCCCGGCCCCCCGCGGGCGCCCGCCGGAGGAUACCCAAACUCUUGACAUUAGUGGCCUCUCUGAGUAUUCUUCACUGAAUAAGUCA